RNAcentral lists this transfer RNA (72 nucleotides) under Epulopiscium sp. Nele67-Bin004. It matches the Rfam family "tRNA". Rfam says of the family: Transfer RNA (tRNA) molecules are approximately 80 nucleotides in length. Their secondary structure includes four short double-helical elements and three loops (D, anti-codon, and T loops). The record is from Rfam by way of RNAcentral. Lineage: Bacteria; Bacillati; Bacillota; Clostridia; Lachnospirales; Lachnospiraceae. RNAcentral also lists the same sequence under 1 other name.
UCCUCGAUAGCUCAGUGGCAGAGCAUUCGGCUGUUAACCGAAGGGUCGUAGGUUCGAACCCUACUCGGGGAG